AAUAGGAGGAGGAUCACUGUUCCUCUGGACCCCAUUGGAAGCUCCUACUUGUCUUCCAGGAACAGAAAGGAGGAACCUGAAGAGUUGAAGGAAUACGAUGCAAAGUGAUCAAACUAACAGAUUACAUAUACCAUUAAAAAGGACACCUAAUGUUGUUUUGGUCCUUUUUCGCUUGUGUGUUUUUUUUAAUUUUUUUUAUCUAUUUUAUUGAACUUUUGGUUUCUAUUAAGUCAUUGGAUCUCAGGUUUAUAAACUGUGACUUAUUUAUUUGUAUUUAUGUUUUUCCAAUAUUAGCUUACCAGCUCCCUCUAGUGGUAUGCAAACUGACAGACGCUGUACUGGUGUUGCUGCAAAAUAAAAUGUACAUGGAUAAACUAUUCAAUCAUAUCUAAUGUUCUUUCAACUUAUUUUAAAUCACAAAAUACAUGACGCAUCUCAACACAAAAGUUAGAUUAGGAAAAUAAGACAUUCUAACCCCAAUAAAGAAAAGUUUUAUUUCUCCGGGUAGUUAAAGAAAACAAUAUCAGAUGCAAAAAAAAAAAAAAAA
Sinocyclocheilus rhinocerous is the source of this 547-nucleotide long non-coding RNA. RefSeq lists it as uncharacterized. The transcript is spliced from 2 exons. The record is from RefSeq and is a predicted model, not a curated record. Lineage: Eukaryota; Metazoa; Chordata; Actinopteri; Cypriniformes; Cyprinidae.